This 427-nucleotide ribosomal RNA is filed under the name uncultured bacterium. Its description in RNAcentral is "partial 16S ribosomal RNA". It matches the Rfam family "Bacterial small subunit ribosomal RNA", at positions 355 to 774 of the family's 1533-position model. The record is from RNAcentral.
UGGGGAAUUUUGGACAAUGGGCGCAAGCCUGAUCCAGCCAUGCCGCGUGUCUGAAGAAGGCCUUCGGGUUGUAAAGGACUUUUGUCAGGGAAGAAAAGGGCGGGGUUAAUACCCCUGUCUGAUGACGGUACCUGAAGAAUAAGCACCGGCUAACUACGUGCCAGCAGCCGCGGCAAUACGUAGGGUGCGAGCGUUAAUCGGAAUUACUGGGCGUAAAGCGGGCGCAGACGGUUACUUAAGCAGGAUGUGAAAUCCCCGGGCUCAACCUGGGAACUGCGUUCUGAACUGGGUGACUAGAGUGUGUCAGAGGGAGGUAGAAUUCCACGUGUAGCAGUGAAAUGCGUAGAGAUGUGGAGGAAUACCGAUGGCGAAGGCAGCCUCCUGGGAUAACACUGACGUUCAUGCCCGAAAGCGUGGGUAGCAAACA